Molecule: ribosomal RNA, 479 nt
Filed under: uncultured bacterium
Lineage: Bacteria
Description: bacterial SSU rRNA
Rfam family: Bacterial small subunit ribosomal RNA
Source: RNAcentral
AUGAAACACUCCUACGGGAGGCAGCAGUGAGGAAUAUUGGUCAAUGGACGUAAGUCUGAACCAGCCAAGUAGCGUGCAGGAUUGACGGCCCUAUGGGUUGUAAACUGCUUUUGUUGGGGAGUAAAGUGAGGCACGCGUGCCUUUUUGCAUUUACCCUUCGAAUAAGGACCGGCUAAUUCCGUGCCAGCAGCCGCGGUAAUACGGAAGGUCCAGGCGUUAUCCGGAUUUAUUGGGUUUAAAGGGAGUGUAGGCGGUCUGUUAAGCGUGUUGUGAAAUUUAGGUGCUCAACAUCUACCUUGCAGCGCGAACUGGCGGACUUGAGUGCACGCAACGUAUGCGGAAUUCAUGGUGUAGCGGUGAAAUGCUUAGAUAUCAUGACGAACUCCGAUUGCGAAGGCAGCGUACGGGAGUGUUACUGACGCUUAAGCUCGAAGGUGCGGGUAUCGAACAGGAUUAGAAACCCUUGUAGUCCGAAGUUC